AACGAACGCUGGCGGCGUGCUUAACACAUGCAAGUCGAACGCGAAAGGGACUUCGGUCCUGAGUAAAGUGGCGCACGGGUGAGUAACGCGUAGAUAACCUGUCUUCAUGUCUGGAAUAAUACGCCAAAGGGGUACUAAUACCGGAUAUUCUUGCUUUUCAUAAGUUAUGCAAGCAAAGGUGGCCUCUGCAUAUGCUACUGCAUGAAGAGGGGUCUGCGUACCAUUAGCUAGUAGGUGGGGUAAUGGGCCUACCUAGGCGACGAUGGUUAGCGGGUCUGAGAGGAUGAUCCGCCACACUGGCACUGGAACACGGGCCAGACUCCUACGGGAGGCAGCAGUGAGGAAUAUUGCGCAAUGGGGGAAACCCUGACGCAGCGACGCCGCGUGAGUGAGGAAGGCCUUCGGGUCGUAAAGCUCUGUCAGGAGGAAAGAAGUGUACAAUGGCUAAUACCUGUUGUAUUUGACGGUACCUCUAAAGGAAGCACCGGCUAACUCCGUGCCAGCCGCCGC
Molecule: ribosomal RNA, 510 nt
Filed under: uncultured bacterium
Lineage: Bacteria
Description: bacterial SSU rRNA
Rfam family: Bacterial small subunit ribosomal RNA
Source: RNAcentral